Molecule: ribosomal RNA, 433 nt
Filed under: uncultured bacterium
Lineage: Bacteria
Description: partial 16S ribosomal RNA
Rfam family: Bacterial small subunit ribosomal RNA
Source: RNAcentral
AGCGAACGCUGGCGGCAUGCCUAACACAUGCAAGUCGAACGAGACCUUCGGGUCUAGUGGCGCACGGGUGCGUAACGCGUGGGAACCUGCCCUUAGGUUCGGAAUAACUCCCCGAAAGGGGUGCUAAUACCGGAUAAUGUCUUCGGACCAAAGAUUUAUCGCCUUUGGAUGGGCCCGCGUUGGAUUAGCUAGUUGGUAGGGUAAAAGCCUACCAAGGCGACGAUCCAUAGCUGGUCUGAGAGGAUGAUCAGCCACACUGGGACUGAGACACGGCCCAGAAUCCUACGGGAGGCAGCAGUGGGGAAUAUUGGACAAUGGGCGAAAGCCUGAUCCAGCAAUGCCGCGUGAGUGAUGAAGGCCUUAGGGUUGUAAAGCUCUUUUAGCCGGGAUGAUAAUGACAGUACCGGGAGAAUAAGCACCGGCUAACUCCGUG